Molecule: transfer RNA, 83 nt
Filed under: Chloroflexota bacterium
Lineage: Bacteria; Bacillati; Chloroflexota
Description: Chloroflexi bacterium tRNA-OTHER
Rfam family: tRNA
About the family: Transfer RNA (tRNA) molecules are approximately 80 nucleotides in length. Their secondary structure includes four short double-helical elements and three loops (D, anti-codon, and T loops). Further hydrogen bonds mediate the characteristic L-shaped molecular structure. tRNAs have two regions of fundamental functional importance: the anti-codon, which is responsible for specific mRNA codon recognition, and the 3' end, to which the tRNAs corresponding amino acid is attached (by aminoacyl-tRNA synthetases). tRNAs cope with the degeneracy of the genetic code in two manners: having more than one tRNA (with a specific anti-codon) for a particular amino acid; and 'wobble' base-pairing, i.e. permitting non-standard base-pairing at the 3rd anti-codon position.
Source: RNAcentral
GCCCUUGUAGCCCAAUGGGUAGCGGCGGCUGAUUUAAGGAUCAGUAGAUCAGCAGGGUGGGGGUUCGAAUCCCUCCAGGGGCA